RNAcentral lists this non-coding RNA (147 nucleotides) under Capsicum annuum. RNAcentral's name for it is "Eukaryotic large subunit ribosomal RNA". It matches the Rfam family "Eukaryotic large subunit ribosomal RNA", at positions 3010 to 3158 of the family's 3401-position model. The record is from Rfam by way of RNAcentral. Lineage: Eukaryota; Viridiplantae; Streptophyta; Magnoliopsida; Solanales; Solanaceae.
GUCGCAAUAGUAAUUCAACCUAGUACGAGAGGAACCGUUGAUUCAUACAAUUGUUCUUCGCGCUUGGUGAAAAGUCAGUGAUGCGAAGCUUCAGGGUGCUGGAUUUUGACUGAAUGCCUCUAAGUCAAAAUUCGGGGUAGAAACAAC